This 73-nucleotide transfer RNA is filed under the name Candidatus Woesebacteria bacterium GWB1_37_5. RNAcentral describes it as "tRNA-Thr". It matches the Rfam family "tRNA". From Rfam's summary of the family: Transfer RNA (tRNA) molecules are approximately 80 nucleotides in length. RNAcentral also lists the same sequence under 3 other names. Lineage: Bacteria; Candidatus Woeseibacteriota. The record is from RNAcentral.
GCCUGGAUAGCUCAGACGGUAGAGCGCAUUCUUGGUAAGAAUGAGGUCUUGGGUUCGAUUCCCAAUCCAGGCU